AACUUUCGACAACGGAUCACUAGGUUCUGGCAUCGAUGAAGUACGCAGCGAAAUGCGAUAAGUAAUGUGAAUUGCAGAAUUCAGUGAAUCAUCGAAUCUUUGAACGCACCUUGCGCUCCUUGGUAUUCCGAGGAGCAUGCCUGUUUGAGUGUCAUGAAAUUCUCAACUGCUUCAAUUUGAAGUGAAGUUGGACUUUGGAGGAUAAUUGCUGGCGCAACUUUGUUGCUUGUCAGCUCCUCUUGAAUAAAUUCGCAUACCUUUCCGGGGCAAAGUAACGACCGAUGUGAUAAUUAUCUACGUUGGACGUAAAAGACCCUACAAGGUGUGUGUUUGGGGAAGGCAUGACAAAUUUGACCUCAAAUCAGGUAGGACUACCCGCUGAACUUAAGCAUAUCAAUAAGCGGAGGCU
This 409-nucleotide unclassified non-coding RNA is filed under the name uncultured Pseudotomentella. RNAcentral describes it as "sequence contains ITS2". The stretch from base 1 to 154 matches the Rfam family "5.8S ribosomal RNA". The record is from RNAcentral. Lineage: Eukaryota; Fungi; Basidiomycota; Agaricomycetes; Thelephorales; Thelephoraceae.